RNAcentral lists this long non-coding RNA (532 nucleotides) under Panax ginseng (ginseng). Its description in RNAcentral is "long non-coding RNA (PGIN_LNC013839)". The record is from RNAcentral. Lineage: Eukaryota; Viridiplantae; Streptophyta; Magnoliopsida; Apiales; Araliaceae.
AUCAAUCUAUAUAUAUCUCUCUUUAUAUUACUUAAAUUAAAAAGUCAGGGGCAUUUUUCAUGGCUGAAUUUUUUAGCAUGGAUGAAGAUUGGGGUCUGCAGGCUAUUGUUCGAGGUUGCUCCGAUGAUCAUUCCACGAAUAUUCGGAAUUAUCGUGAUGAUUUUCUUUUCAAUUUUCCUGAUGUUUAUGAAGCUAAUAAUAUUAAUAAUUGUUGGGAUGUGAUUAUUUGGGUCUAGCCAUGGUGCGACCCAGUCUAUUUAAUGGUCCGAAUCUGAUGAUGGCACAUAUGUAUUUAUUAUGACAAUGGAAGAGUCCUUAUUAAAAUAGGAUUGUGUAUCCUUAUUUAGAGGGAUAAGGAGUCCUUCUCCUAGUAGGAUACGGGUGGAGGUGGCUUCUAUAUAUAUGGCUACAAGCUAGGGUUUGGGGGAGGAUAUGAUAGAACACAACAACUUGUACUCUCCAUAUACACAUCUUGUACUCCCAAUAUUAUUAUAGUGGAUUACUCUCUCCUCGUAAUUUUUUUCCAAUUGGG